UUUGUAUAAUGGGUCAGCGACUUAUAUUCAGUGGCAAGGUUAACCAUCUAGGGGAGCCGUAGGGAAACCGAGUCUUAACUGGGCGUUCAGUCUCUGGAUAUAGACCCGAAACCAGGUGAUCUAGCCAUGGGCAGGUUGAAGGUUGAGUAACAUCAACUGGAGGACCGAACCGACUAAUGUUGAAAAAUUAGCGGAUGACUUGUGGCUAGGGGUGAAAGGCCAAUCAAACCUGGAGAUAGCUGGUUCUCCCCGAAAGCUAUUUAGGUAGCGCCUCGGACGAAUACUACUGGGGGUAGAGCACUGUUAAGGCUAGGGGGUCAUCCCGACUUACCAACCCUUUGCAAACUCCGAAUACCAGUAAGUACUAUCCGGGAGACACACGGCGGGUGCUAACGUCCGUCGUGGAGAGGGAAACAACCCAGACCGCCAGCUAAGGUCCCAAAUUACUACUAAGUGGGAAACGAUGUGGGAAGGCUCAGACAGCCAGGAUGUUGGCUUAGAAGCAGCCAUCAUUUAAAGAAAGCGUAAUAGCUCACUGGUCGAGUCGGCCUGCGCGGAAGAUGUAACGGGGCUAAGUAGUAAACCGAAGCUGCGGCAAUAUACUUUUGUA
This 610-nucleotide ribosomal RNA is filed under the name Vibrio parahaemolyticus. RNAcentral's name for it is "partial 23S ribosomal RNA". It matches the Rfam family "Bacterial large subunit ribosomal RNA", at positions 607 to 1221 of the family's 2925-position model. Lineage: Bacteria; Pseudomonadati; Pseudomonadota; Gammaproteobacteria; Vibrionales; Vibrionaceae. The record is from RNAcentral.